RNAcentral lists this ribosomal RNA (296 nucleotides) under Mesorhizobium sp. M00.F.Ca.ET.220.01.1.1. Its description in RNAcentral is "partial 16S ribosomal RNA". It matches the Rfam family "Bacterial small subunit ribosomal RNA", at positions 1 to 328 of the family's 1533-position model. Lineage: Bacteria; Pseudomonadati; Pseudomonadota; Alphaproteobacteria; Hyphomicrobiales; Phyllobacteriaceae. The record is from RNAcentral.
AACUUGAGAGUUUGAUCCUGGCUCAGAACGAACGCUGGCGGCAGGCUUAACACAUGCAAGUCGAGCGCGUAGCAAUACGAGCGGCAGACGGGUGAGUAACGCGUGGGAAUCUACCCAUCUCUACGGAACAACUCCGGGAAACUGGAGCUAAUACCGUAUACGUCCUUUUGGAGAAAGAUUUAUCGGAGAUGGAUGAGCCCGCGUUGGAUUAGCUAGUUGGUGGGGUAAUGGCCUACCAAGGCGACGAUCCAUAGCUGGUCUGAGAGGAUGAUCAGCCACACUGGGACUGAGACACG